Molecule: ribosomal RNA, 460 nt
Filed under: uncultured bacterium
Lineage: Bacteria
Description: partial 16S ribosomal RNA
Rfam family: Bacterial small subunit ribosomal RNA
Source: RNAcentral
CCUACGGGAGGCAGCAGUGAGGAAUAUUGGUCAAUGGCCGGAAGGCUGAACCAGCCAUGCCGCGUGAAGGUCAGUGCCCUAUGGGCGUUAAACUUCUUUUGUGCGGGAGCAAUAAUGGUCACGUGUGGCUAGACGAGAGUACCGUACGAAUAAGCAUCGGCUAACUCCGUGGCAGCAGCCGCGGUAAUACGGGGGAUGCAAGCGUUAUCCGGAUUUUUUGGGUUUAAAGGGUGCGUAGGCUGGGAGUGAAGUCAGCGGUGAAAUGCCCCCGCUCAACGGGGUGAAGUGCCAUUGAUACUGCCUUUCUGGAAUGCGGAUGCCGUGGGAGGAAUGUGUGGUGUAGCGGUGAAAUGCAUAGAUAUCACACAGAACACCGAUUGCGAAGGCAUCUCACGAAUCCGCGAUUGACGCUGAUGCACGAAAGCGUGGGUAUCAAACAGGAUUAGAUACCCCUGUAGUC